This 95-nucleotide non-coding RNA is filed under the name unclassified sequences. The record is from Rfam.
ACAAUGAUACUUCUGCCCAGUCACAGCCCCGGGGUUCCGGGAUCACGCAAUGAGGGCAGCCCCGCGAGAACCGCGGAGGGGUUAGAGUCCCAUGA